GGCCUGCGCCGGGGCGGGGUCUGUGCGGGGUCCCGGCCUGCGUGGGGUCCUCGCCCACCCCUCGGCCCGCACACCCCCUCGACCCGGGGCCUCACUGGCGGCCCCGGCGGGCCACUCAAGAGUCAAGCAUCGCGACCGCCUCCUGGGUGUCGACCGCCGUCCCAGGCGCAGGGACACGGCGUGGACCAGACAGGCGAGUUCUGUGCUUGCUGCUGCUGCUGCUAAGUCGCUUCAGUCAUGUCCGACUCUGUGCGACCCCAUAGACAGCCCACCAGGCUCCCCCGUCCCUGGGAUUCUCCAGGCAAGAACACUGGAGUGGGUUGCCAUUUCCUUCUCCAGUGCAUGAAAGUGAAAAGUGAAAGUGAAGUCGCACAGUCGUGUCCGACUCCUCGCGACCCCAUGGAUUGCAUGCAGCCUUCCAGGCUCCUCCGUCCAUGGGAUUUGCCAGGCAAGAGUACUGGAGUGGGUUGCCAUUGCCUUCUCCGAGCUCUGUGCUUACCUCCGUCUAAUUCUUCUCAAUCAUUCCUUGUUCAUUCGACUUACUCUUCUCUCUCCCUGACUGGAAACCCGCCGGGGCAGGGUUUGCUGCCAGCCCCAAGGCUGGCACCUGGUAGCCUCUUAACUACGUGUUUGAGGAAUAAAUGAGCUUUAACCACCACAGAUCUAUCAUUGUCAAACUUACACUACAGCCUGAAUGAACCUUGGAAACAUUAUUCUAAGUGAAAGACACAGAAGAACGGGAAUUGUAUGAGUCCAUUUAUAUGAAAUGUCCAGAACAGGCCAAUCCAUAGAGACAGAAAGGAAAUUAGUGGUUACUCAGGGCUGGGAUGUUGAGGGAAAUAGUGUGGCUGUUAAGGGAUGUUUUUGGGCAGGAGUGUGAUAAAAAAUGUUCUGAAAUUCGGUCAUAAUAAUGAUUGAACAACUCUGAAUAGAUGAAAAACCACUGAAUUGUACAGUUAAAAAGGGUGGAUUGGGAUUUCCCCAGCGGUCCAGUGGUUAGGACACGGCACUUUCAUGCCAUGGAGCAGGUUCGAUUCUUGGUUGGGGAGCUAAGAUCCCACAAGCCACAGAGCACAAACAAAAUUUAAAAAAUAAAUAAAAACUAAGGAAGUACUCAGUAUCAAAAGGGACAAGCACAAAAGGGAAAACAUUACUCACCCAAGGAGAACAGC
This is a long non-coding RNA of Bos taurus (domestic cattle), 1172 nucleotides long. The record is from Ensembl. Lineage: Eukaryota; Metazoa; Chordata; Mammalia; Artiodactyla; Bovidae.